GGUGACGGUAAAGGCGGAAGGGAACCACGCGUACCAGCCGAACACGGCCCGUUAAGCCUUCCAGCGCCGAGUGGUACUUGGACCGAAGGGUCCUGGGAGUAGGACGUUGCCAAGC
RNAcentral lists this ribosomal RNA (115 nucleotides) under Paenibacillus larvae. Lineage: Bacteria; Bacillati; Bacillota; Bacilli; Caryophanales; Paenibacillaceae. The record is from RNAcentral.